This 422-nucleotide ribosomal RNA is filed under the name uncultured bacterium. RNAcentral describes it as "bacterial SSU rRNA". It matches the Rfam family "Bacterial small subunit ribosomal RNA", at positions 355 to 774 of the family's 1533-position model. The record is from RNAcentral.
UAAGGAAUAUUGGACAAUGGUCGCAAGACUGAUCCAGCCAUGCCGCGUGCAGGAAGACGGCCCUAUGGGUUGUAAACUGCUUUUGUACCAGAGAAAACCUAUCUACGUGUAGAUAGCUGAUAGUAUGGUAAGAAUAAGCAUCGGCUAACUUCGUGCCAGCAGCCGCGGUAAGACGAAGGAUGCAAGCGUUAUCCGGAUUCAUUGGGUUUAAAGGGUGCGUAGGCGGGCUUGUAAGUCAGUGGUGAAAUCUCUCAGCUUAACUGAGAAACUGCCAUUGAUACUGCAGGCCUAGAGUAUAGAUGACGUUGGCGGAAUAUGACAUGUAGUGGUGAAAUACUUAGAUAUGUCAUAGAACACCGAUUGCGAAGGCAGCUAACGAAACUAUAACUGACGCUGAGGCACGAAAGUGUGGGGAUCAAACA